Molecule: ribosomal RNA, 726 nt
Filed under: Lactiplantibacillus plantarum
Lineage: Bacteria; Bacillati; Bacillota; Bacilli; Lactobacillales; Lactobacillaceae
Description: bacterial SSU rRNA
Rfam family: Bacterial small subunit ribosomal RNA
Source: RNAcentral
UGGGGUAGCAAAACAGGAUUAGAUACCCGGGUAAGUCCAUACCCGUAAACGAUGAAAUGCUAAGUGGUUGGAGGGUUUUCCGCCCUUCAGUGCUGCAGCUAAACGCAUUAAGCAUUCCGCCUGGGGAGUACGGCCGCAAGGCUGAAACUCAAAGGAAUUGACGGGGGCCCGCACAAGCGGUGGAGCAUGUGGUUUAAUUCGAAGCUACGCGAAGAACCUUACCAGGUCUUGACAUACUAUGCAAAUCUAAGAGAUUAGACGUUCCCUUCGGGGACAUGGAUACAGGUGGUGCAUGGUUGUCGUCAGCUCGUGUCGUGAGAUGUUGGGUUAAGUCCCGCAACGAGCGCAACCCUUAUUAUCAGUUGCCAGCAUUAAGUUGGGCACUCUGGUGAGACUGCCGGUGACAAACCGGAGGAAGGUGGGGAUGACGUCAAAUCAUCAUGCCCCUUAUGACCUGGGCUACACACGUGCUACAAUGGAUGGUACAACGAGUUGCGAACUCGCGAGAGUAAGCUAAUCUCUUAAAGCCAUUCUCAGUUCGGAUUGUAGGCUGCAACUCGCCUACAUGAAGUCGGAAUCGCUAGUAAUCGCGGAUCAGCAUGCCGCGGUGAAAUAACGUUCCCGGGCCUUGUACACACCGCCCGUCACACCAUGAGAGUUUGUAACACCCAAAGUCCCUGUGAAGAGUUACCUCCCAGCUCACGCUGUAUCUUGGAGGAGGACCAA